RNAcentral lists this ribosomal RNA (397 nucleotides) under uncultured bacterium. RNAcentral describes it as "partial 16S ribosomal RNA". It matches the Rfam family "Bacterial small subunit ribosomal RNA", at positions 362 to 776 of the family's 1533-position model. The record is from RNAcentral.
UAUUGCACAAUGGGGGAAACCCUGAUGCAGCGACGCCGCGUGAGUGAAGAAGUAUUUNNNUAUGUNACGCUCUAUCAGCAGGGNAGCNAAUGACGGUACCUGACUAAGAAGCCCCGGCUAACUACGUGCCAGCAGCCGCGGUAAUACGUAGGGGGCAAGCGUUAUCCGGAUUUACUGGGUGUAAAGGGAGCGUAGGUGGUGCGUCAAGUCAGAUGUGAAAGCCCGGGGCUCAACCCCGGGACUGCAUUUGAAACUGUCGAACUAGAGUGCAGGAGAGGUAAGUGGAAUUCCUAGUGUAGCGGUGAAAUGCGUAGAUAUUAGGAGGAACACCAGUGGCGAAGGCGGCUUACUGGACUGUAACUGACACUGAGGCUCGAAAGCGUGGGGAGCAAACAGG